Molecule: long non-coding RNA, 494 nt
Organism: Cyprinus carpio carpio
Lineage: Eukaryota; Metazoa; Chordata; Actinopteri; Cypriniformes; Cyprinidae
Source: Ensembl
CUUGAUUUCUAGGCAAGCCCACGGUUUCAUAAUUUCUCCUUUUGAGAUGAGGACAAUAUUUGUAGACCUAAAAAGAUCAUUUUUAUUGUUCUUGCUUCGCAGGCGUUUUAUGCAUCCCGUUGCUUCUCUUGCAUAUAAAGGCACUAGUGUAGCAUCAGAGUAUGUUGAAAGCAGAAAGCUCACUUUCCCCCAGAGAGCUGUCUUUUCAUGCUGUUUCUCAAGGCCAGGUUAACAGCUGCUGCACCUCUGGGGGUGGACGUGUGAGACCUCAGCUCCCCGUCUCCUCCACGCUGGCACAGAAAUAUUAAUAGUGCAGCGAAGAAGCACAAAGCUUCCUGUGUGUGAAGCGAUGGCAGGUGCAUGUGGAGAACUCUGAGUUAGUAAUGAAUCAGUCCACCAGAGGGGGCAGCAAAGCGAGAUCACAGCAGAAAACAAUAACAUCUAAAAGAGGGUGAAAGAGAAGUGGAAAGAUCUGGAAUCAGUGACAACAGGAG